This 280-nucleotide unclassified non-coding RNA is filed under the name Hevea brasiliensis (rubber tree). Lineage: Eukaryota; Viridiplantae; Streptophyta; Magnoliopsida; Malpighiales; Euphorbiaceae. The record is from RNAcentral.
GGGAUUCGCGAGAGUUCGUCACAAAGUUCCUGAGAGACAUAAGACAAAAAUCAUGCUAUAAGACACAGUUAUUUUAUUAUGCUCAUGUUCGUUUUGGCCCACUCAUAAACCCAAAUCUAACGGUUGUUGUUCGGUCCUACGUUUGAUCUUGCCAAGUGUAGCCACAUCAUACGAAUCAGAGGUAUAAUCCAUAUGCUAUGAUGAGCACGAUGAGCACUAUAUCACUCGACUGCUGGUAUAGAAGCAAAAAUCAUAGCUAGACGCCCUAGUCACAUUUUCG